This 302-nucleotide ribosomal RNA is filed under the name uncultured bacterium. RNAcentral's name for it is "partial 16S ribosomal RNA". It matches the Rfam family "Bacterial small subunit ribosomal RNA", at positions 508 to 809 of the family's 1533-position model. The record is from RNAcentral.
GCAGCAGCCACGGUAAUACGUAGGUCCCGAGCGUUGUCCGGAUUCAUUGGGCGUAAAGGGAGCGCAGGCGGACAUAUAAGUCCAUCUUAAAAGUGCGGGGCUCAACCCCGUGAGGGGAUGGAAACUGCUGAUCUAGAGUAUCGGAGAGGAAAGUGGAAUUCCUAGUGUAGCGGUGAAAUGCGUAGAUAUUAGGAAGAACACCAGUGGCGAAGGCGACUUUCUGGACGAAAACUGACGCUGAGGCGCGAAAGCCAGGGGAGCGAACGGGAUUAGAUACCCGCGUAGUCCCUGUCUCUUAUACA